GGUUCUAUGGUGUAAUGGUUAGCACGAUGGAAUCUGAAUCCAGCAAUCUGAGUUCAAAUCUCGGUAGGACAU
Molecule: transfer RNA, 72 nt
Filed under: Danionella translucida
Lineage: Eukaryota; Metazoa; Chordata; Actinopteri; Cypriniformes; Danionidae
Also listed under: 1 other name
Rfam family: tRNA
About the family: Transfer RNA (tRNA) molecules are approximately 80 nucleotides in length.
Source: Rfam by way of RNAcentral